Molecule: long non-coding RNA, 15224 nt
Filed under: Lactuca sativa (garden lettuce)
Lineage: Eukaryota; Viridiplantae; Streptophyta; Magnoliopsida; Asterales; Asteraceae
Description: long non-coding RNA (LSAT_LNC002341)
Source: RNAcentral
UUAAAACCCUGGGUGGCCACAUAAACCAUUGUUAAACACCACCAUCAAACAACAUGUCACACACCUUUUCCAUCUUCUCCCUCUGUUUCUCUAAAAUCGUUGGUUGAUCAUCCUCUCACCCAUCUUCACCACAUCGAACCUACCUAAAUCGAAGCCAAUCAAUUAGUUCUCCCAAAAUCGGAAGAUGAAAAUAGAUUUGGAUUUAUACUGAGAACAAAUCUAACUUUGUAGAGUCUAAAGGAAUUGAAAGAGAUGGAGCAAAUAACUCCUUGAGUCAACACUAUUACUGCUAAAACUCCCAAAUGUCUGCAACAAUUACUCAAUGGAACCGUAAGCUUUGAAGGACGUUUUCUCUUUGCUUGAGUAAGUUUUCCUUUUUAUCAUGUAAUUUAUUCUUAAACAUACAGUUUAACACUUCUGAUAUUGAAUUUAGUGUAAAACUUGGGCAAAAUCUAUAGUUAGAAGAACUAAUUGUUCGCAUGGGAAGUAAUCUUUUACAUCUCUCAAUAAAGUAUCUUUCAUGGAUAGUUUAUAUGUAAUUGCUUUUAUUCGUUCAUUCACUGAUAUGUAUCUAUUUUGUGGAUUUUUUUCUUUUUCUUUUUGUGAUGAAUUAUGUGCUUCUGUUCGUCUGUUUUAAAUUAAUGUGUAUAUAAAAGUUAUGAUGAUAUUAGUUAGUAAUAUUCAUUGAUUUUCUUUAUUCACAAUUUGAUGAAAUUAGUUAAUAAUCUUUCUUUAUUCACAAUUUGAUGAAAUUAGUUAAUAAUCUUCACUUAUUUUAUUUAUGAACAAUUUGGCAAUUCGUAAUUUAUAUGUGAUGAAUGAUCAAUAGUGUAAUUUGGAAUUUCUAUAUUGUUUAUAUAUGUAGAAAUUAUAAAACCGAUUAUCUAGAGCUAAAGUUUAUAAUACUUUUUUCCUUUAUAUAUAUGAACAAUUUUUAAUACCUUUUAUGUUUAUACGACAACCAUUAUUGGCAUUGAUCACUGUUAUAUUUUCCAUUGACGAUUGACAAUUAAGUUUAUAAAGUUUGAAGUUUAUAUUCAGGUGAUAAUCAGUGGUUAAUUAUUCGUAUAGGUAUAAUUUAGCUUUCUAAUCGUUUUUUCAUUGUAGUCUUGGCAAAAAAAAUAUAUAAUGCAGGUUGAACUUCUGUAAAAUAUUGGAUUUCAACUAGAAUUUGUUUCGCAUUUUUACGGAAUAUGAAAUCAAUAAUACGAAAUCAAAAACACAUGUUUUAUGACUCAUAGUUAUUCAUCAUCUUUUAGAUUGUUUGACCUUUUAUUAUAAUUUUUUUCAAACCUUUAUACAAGAUGUUCAGUAUAGUUUAUCUUUCAAAAUAAUAGGUAAUUAAAUUGCUACCACUUGCUCAUUAAGUAAAAUGAUUUUCAUGGAUGAUAUGCACUAUAUAUCAAUUUAUGACAGAACCAAUGCUACCUUUUUUUUCUUUUUUUUCUAAAUUUGAGCAUAUGGUCGGUUCUUCUUUUGUUUUUUUUUUCGUCAAAGAUCAAUUCCUACAGUAAUAUAAUUGGACUUUGAUCCGCUGGAUCCAUUUUAAAAUAUAAUAGUCAAAAUGGGAUGUCAUCUCAUGGACCUCAAAUGAUUAUGUAGUUAGUUUCACACCAAAUUCAAUAUUUAAUUUGUUCUUCUCAUAAACAUUAUGUAGUUUUAAUUUAGCUUUUUUAAAUCGUUUCACCUGGUGGAUCUUUCUUUUCAGCUUUGAUUAUCUAUUAUAUAUAAGUUAAAUAAUAGGUGUUUGUGGAAACGUCUAGAAGAAAAAUUGACCAUGUGGUAUGAGAAACAUCAAAAAAUAUGGUCCCAAAAAUUUCGUUUUAUAAUAGGUAAAAAUAUUGUUUUCAAACAUCAUUCGUACAUCUCAUAAAAACAAUGUAUCCAAUGUAUCAAAAUCAGAGUAAAUAUAAAACGCGGAAUCUCUGUGGUAUGUGCGAUGCGGUCUGCCCGAGCUCUUCCCCUUGGAACCGGAAGUACCUGACACAUAAACAGAAAACCGUAAGCACAAAGCUUAGUAAAUUUCCCCAAGAUACCAUAUACCAUCAUAUCACAUAACGGGCCCUGCCCAUACUCAUAAAACGUGCCCCGCCCAAUGAGAUAUAGGCCUCGCCCACAUUCGCAAUACGGACCCCGCCGAAAGAGAUACAUGCCCUGCCCACACUCGCAAUACGGUCCCUGCCUAAUAAGCAUACAUAUAAGCACAUACAAUUAUUACACAGUCAACGAGUAUAUCGACAUAAUCAACAAGGGUCGGCAUUGGUGCCUUAGAUCCGCUAAACCUGGUGAGGAAAACUCACCUCAAAUAUGGAAUGAUAGCUGAACAGAUCCCGACUCCAAAUAUCAACUCUAAUCAACCCCUAAACAGAAAAGAUUUCCUUAAAUACAACUCAAAAUGCCCAAAAGCCCCUUAUAGGUCAACCUUGGUCAAAGUGUAAGUCAACGGCCCGAGUUGACCCAACUCGCCGAGUUGUCCUUCAACUCGCCGAGUUUCACCAUUAGUCUGCAAAGUCGGGAAGAAACUGAUCCAACUCGUCGAGUUCAUUUGUAAACUCAUCGAGUUCGCCAGAAAUCCAACAUCUUAAUUCAUUAAGUCGACCUUACCGAAACUAAGAGCUUCACAACUCAGAUCUAUAACUGAAAUAGCCUCAAGAAGGGUAAAGUUUCCAACUUUACACCUAAGAACCACCAAAAUGGGUUCAAAACCCAAACCCUAGGAUUAAAAGGGUGAUGGCUUAAUCAUUAAGCACUUAAUCACCAAAUGCAUAACCCCAAACUACAGAUCUAACCCUAAAACCUGAAAGGCUAUGUAAAGUUUCCAACUUUACACUCAUGCAUGACUAGCAGAGGCUCAAAUGCUCAAAAGAGGCCGAAAUAAGGACUUAAUGAAAGCAUGAAGCCCUUAAGACCAUAAAGUUGGCACCUUAAUGCCAAAAGAGCUCAUCAACAUCUUAGAUCUGAAAGGAUAACAUUUGGGAUGUCCUACACCCCCAUCAUCCACCUAUAACAUCCCAUCUUUCAAGUGACUUCAAAAUCAACCCUUGGAUUUUAAUUACGUCAUUUUUGGUCCUUGGUUUGGAAAGAAGUGACAAAGGGAGGACCUAGUGGCAAAAUGGUGAUGUUGGGAACUUGAGUAGUAUGUUGGGCGUAUAUGUGAGUACGCUAAGUGUCUUAGGGCGUGCCCUAGUACGCUGGUUGUACACAUAUGUAUGUUGGGCGUACAAGUGCCAGGGUGAAACCCUAACUUUUAGGGUUUGUUGAGUAUUUAAGCAUCUUAUGGAUCGUUUCCUCUCAUCUUUUCUAGCCUCCAAGUCUUUGAACCGUUCUUAGCAAGCCCUAGUACAUAAGAGAGAGUUUUGGAGCCUAAAGUGUGUUGUUGGUGUGAGUGAAUGAGAAGAAAGAGCAUCAAGGAGUCAAGGAAUGAAUCAAGCUUGUAGAUAUGGGGUUAUCACCAUCUUGGAAAGCUUUAGAAGGUAUAAAGCUUCUACCUUUAUGCUUGAUUGUGUAGAUUUUGGUUUUAUUACUUUUUAGCAUUCUUCUUGUCCCAAGAGUCCCAAUAUUGUGCAUGCUUUGUUUUGGGCAAGUUAAGUUGUUCUUUCAGACCCAAGGAUGGGGCCUAAGGCAUAAAAAUGAGGUCCCUUGAGCUAGUUUGGUCCCUAGUUCUUUGUAGGAGGUCUUAAUGGAUUAAGACCAUGUAUUAAGCCCUUUUUGGUCGAACAAAGUCUUAAAGUUUGAGACUUUAUGGUUAUAGAGUGUUAUUGAAUCAUGAAUUUGAAGUUUGAGCUCAAGUGCUUAAUCCAUUAAGCACUUAUGGAAGUUAUAAGACAUGCGAGGGUACGCCUCACGUAAGUUGUUGUACGCCUUACGUUCGGAGUCAAACCCCCAUAAUGGGUCAAUGCGAGGUGAGGUACGCCCAACGUACCGAAGGGUACUCCCCACGUACGCCUCCUGUUGGGCUUCGGACUGUGGGCUUCUAGUAUUGGGCCAUCUGUUGGACUUUGAUACUUAGGACCUAAAGGUUUAUCAGGAUGGGUGUGUCUUGGGCCAAGUAGAGGAUCGGACCUUUGGAUAAGGCCCAAUAAGGAGUUGGGACCAAUUUGGAAAAUUAGGCCAAGUGUGGGCUUGAAGUGGUUUGGGCCUUUGGAUCAAGAUUUGGGUUUCGCUUGCAUUGGUUUGUGAUGGACCAUCUGGGAUUUUAUGGUUUGGGCUUUUAGCUUGUUGGAUCUUCUUGAGUGAAGGCCAUAAGGCCUAAUUUGGAAAAUUGGGCCAUAAUUGGACUUAAGGAGUUUAUUUUGAUAUUGGACCUUUUGUCAUCUAGUUUGGGCCUUGGCUUUGGGCCAAGCUUGAGGAAUAGUAAAAAGGUAUUUUACCCUGAUUUGGACUCAUUGUAUGAGUUAGCAACUAGAUAUUGAUGAUUGUCAUUUUGGUAUCUGCUAGCGGAUCUGCAGUUAGAGACUAUUCACAUAAUCAUCUAUUAUUGUGGUGCUCUCUCGAUGAUGAUGGUUCAGAAUCUGGCAGUCAGCGGUCAGGGAUCGUCUGUGUGUUUUGGAAGCGCGAUGGGAGUUUUUCUCACAGUACUAACAGGGUCCAAGGCACCAAUGUCAGCCAUUUGGAUUGUUAUCUUGGUUUAUCGUAUGCUUGUAUGUUGUGGUGAUGUGUUAGGUCGGUAUCCUUCUGACAGGAUGAUGCUAUGCUUAGUGAUAUGUUAGAUAUGCCUUAGUAUGGUUGGGUUGAGACUGUAUUGCUUUGUACUGCCAGUCAACAAACCCGAAAAUGUUUAUGUUGGUACAUUAUAUGUAUGCUUAUCUGUUAUAUGUCGACAUGUCUUGUGUGUGUGGUUGGGUCGAGGCGGACCUACUUUGUGCUGAAGGCCAACAUACCUAGGGCGGCCCGGAUAGACUGAAGGCCCAUUGGGGCGUACCAGUCAGGCCGAAGGCCCGUAGAACGGUCCAGACAGGAUGAAGUCCUAGCAAGGCGGACUAGACGUGUUGAAGGUUCUGAGAGCAGCCCAGACAGGUUGAAGGCCCGGUAAGGUGGUCCAGAUAUGCUGAAGGAUUUGAUAGUGGUCCAGAUAGGUUGAAGGCCCGGUGAGGCGGUCCAGUCAUGCUGAAGACUCUAUAUGCAUGUUGUUAUUUGUAUGUGUGCUACUAUUUGUGUGUUCGUACUUUGGGGGAACUCACUAAGCUUUUUGCUUACGGUUUCAGUUUAUUGUUUCAGGUGCUUCAAAUGUUUUAACAAGGCGAAGGCGUGACCAUACACAUCCUCGCGUUUUGGACUUAUAGUUUCUGGGAAACUCUGAUGAUGUGCUUGUUUUGAAAACUACGUAUAAAUGAUUUCGGUUUUAAAUAAAUGUUUUGGAAACCACGGUUUUGUAAACACUUCUAUAGAAAAAGGAUUGUUUUGGAAAGUUUAAAUUUUAUCGACCCUUGGUUUGAGUGAAUUGGAGGAACACUCGUGUGAAUCCAGUCUCAAACCAAGGAAAAAGGGUUCUCAAAAAAAAUUUCAAAUGGUUUUCAAAAUAAUCAAAGAGGAUGCGAUGUGUGCGAUCAGUCGGAGCCAGUAAGUAGACCCCAAUUAUCACACAAUUAUUUGAGCUUAUGAUAUGUUAGAACAGCAUGCCAGCAAUAGGCUAGGGAUCUUCAGGAAUUGCAUGGUAGAAUUUCCUGAUUAUGUGAUGCCUUAGUUCAUUUAGAGUUUUCUUGUUUGGAUUAUCUAUGACUCUUUCGCGUGUGAAUUGGCUACUGAGUGGAUACACUAAGUCACAUGUCGCAUGGUUUAAAGUAUCUUAGGCUAAGAGGUUUGGUCCUGUUGCGCAACUCUCGUCUGAGUCCAACCGUUGUGGGAUUGAAUCUUUUAGCCUAAGAUUGUUUAAAUGGUGGGGUAUGUGAUUGUAUUCAUGUGAUAGUUAUAUAGCACCAAUGGAUUAUCUUGUGGCAAGUCUGGUAUGGAUGAGUCAUAUGGGGUCAGCCGGCCAGUAGCGCUAUUGGAUAAGGUAGCGGUGAUUUUCCCUAGAUUAGGCGCGACUCACAGUAAGUCGGCAUGAGGAAGGAUUAGCCACUCUUGAGAGAGUGAGGGCAUGGCGAAGAUGCGUGUGAGAUGUUGGGAGCCCGAGAUCGAGGAUUUCAUAGGAUGAUAUGCCUGAUUCUAUUGUAUCUUAGUGUUAGUCGACUUCUCUGCUCGAAUGUUGCUUACUUUGUGCUUUGUGGGACCCAUGUUGAUGAUAGCUAACCAUCAAAUGAUUACAUUAAAAUUACAUGCUAUGAGGGUAAAAUAAUCUUAGGAUAAAGGACUUGGACCUAUUGCAAAGCUCUCGUCUGAGUCCAACGGUUGUAGGGCUGGGUCCUUUAGCCGAAGGAUUAUUUAAGCCUGGUUGCAUUUAAUUGUAUUCGUGAAGUGGUUAGUUGGCAUUGGUAGGGGUUCUUCAGCAGCUGAUGGCAGGGGAGGUGUGGUGAGUCCUAGGAUCGCCUAGGUAGUAUUUAGUGAGAUUGUUUCGCCAAGGAGCAGGUUUCAGGAGUAUUUUGUGACUAGGACUUAGAGGACCCGAGAUGAUUCUUGAGGAAAGUGUGGAUAGGUGUGGAAGGUAGUAUUAGACCCGUACUAAUGGAAUCCAUACUCGAAUCAAGGAAGGUUUCGGGGAUUCUAAGAGCUGGUCAGGAAAGAUAGCAUGGUUGGAUACUAUGGAUCGCGACAGUGGUUCUGUUCCUGUCAAUCUAUUGGUCGUGGCAGCUCGGGCAUGAGGAUGGACCUGGUAUGUGUUUUGAGCCCGUUGGAAUUAUGGAUUCAGGUUGUUUUGUGCAUACCUAGGGAGGUUUUGGUUUAAGGCCUCAAGGGUUUUGCUCGAGGUCAGGUCAUACGAGUCGUGCGACUCAGGAAGGGAGCGAUGAUUAUGAUCGACUUGAGUUUUACAGUUAGAAGUAGGAUGGUUGAUUUAUGGAUUGGAAUUUCGUUAUCUAUGGCAAGGGUUGUACCCUUUUAGUUUUCCGAGUUUGAAGGAGAGAGCGGGCUUGUGACCCCAGUGUAAGGUUGUAUCUCCAGCUCGGGGUCAGUUGAUCGCAGUAGUUGGCGGCAGUAUUUCAGCGCUGGUGAGCGCAGGUGGAAUGAUGUGACAUGAGUAUAUUGUGAGGUAAGUAAGAGCCCUUAAUCUUGGGAGACGAGAACGUUGGCAUCAGAUUCUUGUUGAGAUUGCAAGCCGGAAAGGGAAUCCUGUUGAUUAGUUCAUGUCACCUGGGAUCAAAGGGGAGUCUUCCGGCGUACUCUCAGGUUGGUCAGGGUAACUAAGGAGGAGGUGGUCAUGAUUUCUUCGGAUGCUUUGAGGGUAUGUCAUCCCCUGUAUUCUUUAGGGUUGUAUUGGGAAUUGUAUUAUGUUGGAAUUAUGUUGGAUUGGGUAAGUUAUACCCCGGAUUGACUUUCUUCAAUUUUUGGGUUAUUGGGGGUUGUUAUAUGCCAUGUUGCGUGCCGGAAGUCUUCAGCUGAAAUUUAAGUUUCUCUUGGGUUCCGAUUGAUCUGUAGCAGGAGGAUAAUUUUGCGUACGUUAUUCAUUCCAUGGUCAGGAAUGAUCGUACCUGGUUGAGCCGGUUUGAGUUGGGAGUUGAUUUCUAACCAUUGAUUGGUAGUUAGAACCCUAAGUGGGGGAGAAUUGGGAAAUAUUGGGUUUAGUGUUAGGCAUUGAAGGUUUUGCCAGUUGCUGUUCGGACUGUUGUUUUCAAGUUUAUUGGGAAGAUAUUGAUCGGUGAACCUCUCCAGAAGUGGGUAUGUUUAGCUCCAGGUGAGUUUGUUAUUCUCUGGUUUAGGUGCCAGAAUGUCCUUGACCAUUGGUCAUUGAUUUCGUCUUUUAGCGGGAAUUCCUCGAAGGAUUCAAGAGGCAAUAGUUAAGAGCAAGGAAUGUGUCACCCACCCUCUAGUGCAAUUUGUUUAUGUUUCCCUUGGUCCUUAGAUAAGUUCUCCAUCAGUGGUAGAGUGGAAUUUCUUAUUCAUAGCAGACUCGGGUUUGGCAACCUUUGAGAUUGUCUUGGAAGUAUUCGGGGGCUAGUAACGUGUAGGCAGGAUCCGUGCAGUCUCGAUCAAGUAUGGGAUCUUGUUUCGAUCGGUGAUAUGGACGUCUUCUGUUAUUGAUGGAGGUGGUGUUGCCUUAUCUCGGAAAAUCUUUCAGAUUGGAUGAGGUUUGGGUUUCCCCAAGAAUAGGCAUGGUUCUGUUGGGUUAUAGCCUUCGAAUUGGGUCAAGGGUUCGACCAUUAUCCUAUCCUCGGGUUGGGUGUGACCAUGGGUUCGCAAGGUUUUUCUUGGGUAGCAACUUGUUCUAUAAGCGAAUCGUACAUGGUAGGGUUGCAGCAUAGUGGUGCGCAUUCAGUGUUGUGUGGGACGGUGAUUAGGUACCCUCAAGGCAUUGAAAGGAGGAGAGUAUCUUUAGGAUUCAUAAGGUUGGGCAAGCAGUGUAAUACCGACACAGUCGGUAUGAGAUAAGGAGCAUUCUAGUCAUGGGCUGUGGGCCUAAUGGCCAGGAUUAUUCAUUUAAUCUAUUUAUGAUACUCUCUGUAGAGACGUGUUCAUGGGUAUCGGAGAACCCAUAAUCAGUUGGUUUGGAUAGGGAACGGUCAAGGGCCAUUGGGAGUGCCAGUUGGGUAUCAAAAUGAAUUUGUGGAAUGUUUGUUCGCAAGUUGUUGUUAGGGAUUGGAUGAAAUGCGGAAGUUCUUGGUUUGAUCAUCUUUUUUAUUGGUUCGGAGGUUAGUGAUGGCAUGGCAGUGAGUCAAAGGUUAUACUAAGGUUUUGGUGUAUCAUAUGGAUUCGGAUUGGGAGAGGUUCACUAUCGACCUGUUUGAGGAUCUUUUCUACAUGAUUUGUGGUGUCUUCAGUCAGAAACUUGUGGUGGAUUCAUGGAUGGCCAUUUAGGGAUGGCUUAUAGUGGAAACUUGUGUUUGGAAUCGCAAGUGUAUCCAUGUGAGGCAUACAUUCUGGAGGUCAGGGACUUAAGCAGGGGAAUCUUUUGGUUUAUGGUGCGAGUCGCGAAUUUCAGGCGAAAGGUGUGAUGUCAUCGAUGGUGAAAUUGAGGGUUGUUGGGUUAGAAUGUCCCCGUCUUUCAGGUUAUGGGAAUCGGGUUAGAUAUUUCUCAUGAUUGUCUAUGGCGACACAUUGUAUUUGGGUGGGUUGUGGUGGUCCUGCUCUAUGCAGUAAGCUAAGAUACCCGAUGCGGACCGACCGUAAGUCGAAGGCACGGAGACUCAGGGGGGAGCGGUAGGGUUGAGGCGGUAGACCUACAAACCCUGAUAAUUUCAACCCGAUGGUUGACUAAAAUCGACAUGUUGGUAUUCUAGCCCGAGGCUGAUCGGUCUAGCUAUGGUUGUUUUUGGUUAUGAGCUAGCAGGGAUGUGUAUAUUGGUUCGGGGGUUAAAGGAAGCAUUGUCGGUCGGGACAAAGAGGUUCAUCUCCCAGUUGUCUCCCAUUAUUCAUCAUAUCAUAGGAAAAUUUUUCAUCAGAAUCAUCAUAUCAUGGAAGGAUUAUCGAAUCUCUUUUGUCCAGUAAAGAGUUGUCAGCAGCAGAGUAUGAUCAGUGGUUCUGUUUUCUAGUAGGAACCUCAGGUUCCAAGGUUGAGUAGUCCGUUUAGGGAAUUAGCGAUGGUUAGUAUGGGCGGUUUGUAGGGGAGUAAGACCAAAUUCAAGGUUCCGCAUUGUAGAUUUUCAUGUGAAGUAGGGUUGAUUGGCUGCAUGGGAUUUUGGAUUUAUUUUCUUCAGGUUGGAAUUUUCUGCGGAGUUAGUCUCCUUAGAAGAUCGUCACAUGUCAUGGUUGUGAAUGUGCCCCCUAGGAUGUCGGGUUGCUGGGGAUGGGAAGGAAUGAUUUCGAGGACGAAAUCGAAUGUAAGUGGGGAAGAGUUGUAACAUCCCAUCUGUCAAGUGACUUCAAAUUCAUCCCUUGGAUUUUAAUUAUGUCAUUUUUGGCCCUUGGUUUGGAAAGAAGUGGCAAAGGGAGGCCCUAGUGGUAAGAUGGUGAUUUUGGGAACUUGAGUAGUACGUUGGGCGUACAUGUGAGUACGCUAAGUGUACGAGUCAAGGAAUGAAUCAAGCUUUGAACCGUUCUUAGCAAACCCUAGUCCAUAAGAGAGAGUUUUGGAGCCUAAAGUGUGUUAUUGGUGUGAUUGAAUGAGAAGAAAGAGCAACAAGAAGUCAAGGAAUGAAUCAAGCUUGUAGAUCUGGGGUUAUCACCAUCUUAGGAAGCUUUAGAAGGUAUAAAGCAUCUACAUUUAUGCUUGGAGUGUGUAGAUCUUGUUUUGAUAACUUUUUGGCAUUCUUCUUGUCCCAAGAGUCCAAAUAUUGUGCAUGCUUUGUUUUGGUCAAGUUAAGUUGUCAUUUCGGACCCUAGGACAGGUCCUAAGGCAUAAAAAUGAGGUCCCUUAAGCUAGUUUAGUCCCUAUUACUCUGUAGGAGGUCUUAAUGGAUGACAUAUUUCCAAUGUGACACCUUUAGGAGAACAAUAUCUCCCACCUGGAACUCCAAAUCUAAUAGAUGCUUGUCGGCAUAGCUCUUCUGUCGACUCUGAGCUGUCUGGAGCCUGCUCUGAACUUGCUUAAUCAUCUUAGUAGUCUUGAGUACCACGUUGGUACUCCCCAUGACUCGCGGACCGACCUUUCCCCAACAGAUUGGGGUCAUGCAUUUCCUCCCGUAAAGCAUCUUAAAAGGAGGUCGAUCAUUGCUAGCAUGAUAACUGUUGCUAUACGAAAAUUAUGCUAACGGAAGAUACGUAUCCCAACUCCCACCAAAAUCCAAUACGCACGCACGGAUCAUAUCCUCAAGAGUCUGAAUCGUCCGCUCACUCUGCCCGUCGGUCUAAGGAUGAAAAGUCGUACUGAAAUGGAGACGAGUACCCAUCUCGUCAUGAAACCGCUUCCAAAAUCUGGAAGUAAAGAGAACAUCCUGGUAUGAAACUACUAACACCAGCACCCCAUGAUGUGCCACCACCUCCCGAACAUAAAUCUUGGCUAGCUUAUCUGCAAAAAUACUCUCCUGGAUCGGAAUGAAAUAUGUUCUCUUGGUCAAUCGAUCCACGAUGACCCAAAUAGAAUCCAGUUCGCGUGCAGUCCUCAGAAGCUUUGUGAUAAAAUCCAUCGUUAUGUAUUCCCAUUUCCAUAUGAGAAUCUCCAAUGGCUGCAUCUUGUCAUGAGGUCACUAAUGCUCAGCCUUGACUUUCCUACAAGUCAAGCACCGCUCCACAAACCAUGCUAUAUCCCGCUUCAUGCAGGGACAAUGAUAAUCAGGGUGAAUAUCCCUAUACAUAUUCGUCGCCUCGGGAUGAAUAGAGAAUCUCGACUUGUGAGCCUCCUCUAUCAGAACUUGGCGCACCUCGCCCCAAUACGGAACCCAAACCCUCCGAUGCAAAGUCAAGAAUCCGUGACUAUCAUAAUCGAAAGAAGCCACCUGACCCAAAAUCCACUCACACUUAUGGCGCUCUUUCUUCAUAGCCUUAACCUAUGCCUCUCGAAUCCAUUCUAGCAACGGAGUAAUCACUGUCAUCCUCAAGCAUAUACCACGAAUCGGAGUCGCGACCACCUUGCGGCUGAGAGCAUCGGCCACCACGUUGGCCUUUCCCGGGUGAUAAAUGAUCUCGCAAUCAUAAUCCUUUACCACAUACAACCAAAAAAGUUGUCUCAUAUUCAGGUUCGGUUGAUCCAUAAAAUACCUCAGGCUCAAGUUGUCCGUGUAAAUAGUACAACGAACCUCAUAGAGGUAAUGCCGCCAAAUCUUGAGGGCGCAAACCACAACGCCAACUCCAAAUCAUGCGCCGGAUAAUUUGCAUCAUGAGGCUUCAGCUGCCAUGAAGCGUGAGCGAUCACCCGAACCCGCUGCAUCAGAACUGCACCCAAACCCGUGAUCGAGGUAUCACAAUAGACCACAAAAAUCAUCGACACCCACCGGCAAGGUCAAAAUCGGCACCUAAUACAGCCGCUGUAUAAGAGUCUCGAAAGCUGCCUGCUGCUCAGGCCCCCAACAAAAUGUCACCGACUUCUUGGUCAGUCAGGUCAAUGGAACAACAAUCUUGGAGAAAUCCUAGAUAAAUCUCUGAUAAUAACUAGCCAAACCAAGAAAAUUCCGAAAUUCAGAUGGAGACCUCGGAACCUCCCAAUGCAUUACAACCUCGACCUUGGACGGAUUGACCAGAAUACCCUUGUGCUUGACGAGGUUCCCAGGAACUACACCUUGCGCAACCAGAACUCGCACUUGGAGAACUUUGCAAAAAGUCUCUCCACACUCAAUGUCUUAAGCACCUCCCACAAGUGCUCCUUGUUCUUCUCCUGCAUCUUGGAAUAGACCAAGAUAUCAUCAAUAAAGACUAUCACAGAUUGAUCUAACAUCGGUCUGCACACCCGGUUCAUCAGAUCCAUGAACGCGACAAGAGCAUUGGUGAUACCAAAUGGCAUUACCAUGAACUCAUAAUGGCCAUAGCGAGUCCAGAAAGCUUUCUUCUGCACAUCCUCGUCCAUGACUCGCAUCUGAUUAUAACCUGAUCGCAGAUCGAUCUUGGAGAACAAAGAUACACCCUGAAGUUGGCCGAAAAGAUCAUCAAUCCUCGGGAGGGGAUAACGCUUCUUCACCGUUACCUUAUUCAACUCCCGGUAGUUGAUACACAUCCGAUGGGAUCCAUCCUUCUUCUUCACAAACAGAAUACAGGCUCCCCAAGGCGAACUGCUCGUCCUGAUAAAUCCCUUGUCUAACAGCUCCUUUAGCUGUGUAGACAACUCCUGCAUCUCAAGAGGAGCCAACCGAUACGGUUCUUUUGCUAUCGGAGCUGCACCUGGAACCAAAUCAAUCCUAAACUCUACCUGCCUCUUCGGAGGUACCCCAGGCAAAUCCUCCGGGAACACAUCCGGAUACUCCCGCACAAUCAGUACAUUGUCCACAGUCGUCUUACCCUUAUCACGGGUAUCCAUGACAUAGGCGACAAAAUCCGCACAACACGGAUAAAUGUAACACUUGGUUCUGCAAGUGCUUCGUUGUUAGGGGCCGCGGUCCAAUCAUCAUUUGUCAUGAGGUUAGCGCCUUGGGAAAGGAAGGUUUUGGCCCAUUUUGGAUGUGAGUACUAGGGCACAUGAGAUCUAAGUAUUUGAUUGUGGCUUCAGAGGCCAAGGGCAUACUCGUAAAUUGACAUCUCGGUCUUCUGAAGAUUUCGUGCUCUUAUUCAGGAAGUUUUAGGUAAUGAGGAGUUGCUUUCAGCGUAGGGUUUCUCGCCACCUUUUCGUGGAUAUAAAUUUCGUCGGAAACGGACUAAGAACAAAGAAGUUAUAACACUUGAAGGUUAUUGGCAAUUUUAAUCCUUAAUGAAGAUUUGUGGCAAGGUGAUCCUAUGCAUGCGUGGAAUGCAUGCGUCUGUCUAGCUAGGUACGCCCAACGUAUAAGGGUAUAUGGUCGUAGGUGCAGAGAGGCAUACACCCAACCUACAUCCAGAGUGCCUAAACCCUAAAUUUUAGGGUAUGCCACUAUAUAAAUAACAUUAUACCCUCAAGGAUCAGCCUCCUUCUCACCCUUAAACAGUUUUCAUUAAACCCUAAUCUUCUUUGAGUAUUCUUGGAGCUAAGAAGGCCAUUAGAGAUCAUUUGGGUGUUGUGGACCCAUUUUCCAAGCAAGUGAAGAGCAGGCAAGGUGGUGGUUCAAAGGAGAGGUUGUAGAUAUGGGAUUAUUGCUUUAUUUCUGACCAUUUCAAGGUAUAAAGAUCUAAACUUGGUGGUUACUUCCUUAGAUAUCUUAGGUUGAUUUUUUGGACCAUUUUGGUCCAAAUGAUGAAGCUUUAUGGUUCAAAUCCGAUUCCUAGGCUUGGAGUUGCCACUCUCAGUGCUAAAUGAGUCCCUAAGGCAGAAAGUUGUCACCUUGAAUGUCUUAAUGAAUUCAUGCAUGAGAUCUACACAAUUCCAUGGAAGUUUGUUUCUAUAUACCAAGUUUGGGUUUAUUGGUGGGUUGGAAGUCACCAAGUAAUCGACUUUAUGGAUUAAGACGUUGAAAAGGACUUGGAUCUGUGAUUAUAGCUUCUGGAUUAGAGUAUUAAGCACUUAAUGGGAAAAGUGGCUUAACAGGGAAGUACGAUGGGCGUACAUGUAGGUACGCACAGCGUACACACCAUUCAGCCAGUACGCUUAGCGUACAAAGGAGUACGCACCACGUACUCAUCAGACAUGGGCUUGACGUAUUUUAGGCCUCGGUUUCGGCCAUGCUUUGGACUUCAGGUCAUUGGGCCUCAGUGGGUCAUCUUAAGUCAGAUAAUUUAGGCCAAGAAAAUGCUUGGGCUAAGGGAAAGGCUCAUUAAAGGGAUUGGGCUCAAUUUAGAAAAUUGGGCCAUUAGUGGGCUUGGGAAGCCUACCUAGUGUUGGGCCUUUUUGUAUUAUGGUUUUUGGCCUUUGAUAUGGACCAAGUUGGACUAGGGGUAAAAUGCUCAUUUUACCCUAAAUAGGAUUAUUGUUUUGGACUAAUUGUUAUUUUGGGUAAUGGUAGCUCAGGGAGUUGAGAGAUCAGCAGUUCGGGGAUCUGCUAGCUAGUAGCGAGAGGUUUAUUCGCAGGAUUUUAAAGUCAGCUUGUGAGGUGAGUUUUCUCCAGUAGGAACGGGUCUAAGGAACUAAUGUCGGUCCGUUUAUGUAUGUUUGUGUAUACCGGAUUUAGAUCCGAUGUCGGGUUUAGCUCGAUGUAGUUUUUAUGCUUCCGGAUUAUGUUCUGAUGCCGAGCGGGGCCCGAGGAAGGUUUACAUGUAUGUUCUGAACUACGGUUCGAUGUCGGGUGAUACCCGAGGAAGGGAUGCAUGUUUAGUUAUACUUGUUGUCUUUUUGAUACUUGUAUGUGCCUAAUAGGGAGAUGAGUGUGGGCGAGGGCCCGUAUCUCAUCACUAGCCGAGUAAGGACGGGGUUCCAUAUCUCAUUAGUAGCAGAGUAGGGGCAGGGCCCAAGAUAGGCGGGGCCUUGAGACUAGCAGUUAUUAUGAUUAUAUGUUUGCAUGUGUAUAGCGGGCGGCGCCCAGAGACAGGCGGGGCCUGGUAGAAACAGAUAUGUAUACCGAGCGGGGCUUAAUUCCAGGAGGGGCCUGAUGUCGGAUGUGUCCGAUGCUGGGGGAGGAGAGAUAGUGGGCUAGGCCCAAUGUUUGCAGUAUGUGAUUAUGUAUAUCGUAUGUGGUAGUUUGGGGAGACUCACUAAGCUUCGUGCUUACGGUUUUCAGUUUUGUUUUCAGGUACUUCCAGUUGCAAAGAGAAGAGCUCGGGAUGAC